CAGUUCAGAAGGUCACCAUCUUGUGACAGGGGGAGGUAUAAGGUAAGUCUUCAUGGUCAGUGUCUCAAUAUAACAGCCCAAAGGCUCCGUUCCAAUAUUGUAGGUGUCCUUGUCACCAGAGCCUCACUUGUUCUCCUUGAGGAACGUCUCAUCACCAUCUUAAAGAAUUCUUCUAAUGCUUCAUCAGCUGAAGGUGAAGUUUAAUAAACGAGCCCUUGCAGCCCGGAGAGACCGAAGAAACACGGCUCAGGAAGAGAAGGUGUUUGUAAGCAGAACUGAAGUGUAAUAUUACUGCACACCUUCAUAUAUUCCUCCGUUUCUACCUCGCUUCCAGGGAUGACUCGUGUCACUGCCUUACGUUCAGAGGAAGUCUCGUAAACGUCGGCUCGUAAACGGUAAUGACAGGUGGAGACGAGCGAGACGGAUAAAAAGGACUCUAUUUAUUUCCUAUAAUGAGCAGGGAUUUGGAAGCCGUCCUGCUGCAUUACAUACAUCAGACCUAAUGAAGAGGGAAUAAAUGGCCGUGUGCACACUCUGGAUCACGCAGCACUCUCAUUAAUAUACACCACUCCAUCUCCUGGUUCAUGAAUAAGAAUGAGCAUUCUAACCAGAAUUUGGAAGACACUCUGAUCCAGAACAACGUCCAUUUAUCACAGCUCUGUGUUAAGGGCCUCGCUCAAGGGCCCAACAGUUGCAGCUUGACGGUCGGUACUGGGAUUUAAACCCAUGAUCACAGUCUUAACCCCAGAGCUACUACACUCCACCAGUUCGAGCUCAUGGCUGAAACGUCUUCCCAGUUACCUGCAUCAUACAUCAUACAUCCAGGGAGGUGUUUUUUUUUUCUCUCACAAAACCUCAAAUAAACAUUAACGAAGUCCGUAACACACUUGACGAUCCUGGAUUUUAAUGAAGAGCACUUGGGUAUUAAAUAGAUCCUGUGUGAGAGACUACUAACAUCAUGUCAGGCCUGUUUUAAUUCUCUAAUGGUUCUGCGGCUAACCGCUGUCAAGUCCUUCAAGCCUAAUCCCCCUCGCACUAUUUCUUAUUUACACGGAUUUAUGAGACGAUUAUUGCUAUGGUAUGUGAAUGGAAUUCUUCAGGCCUGGUGUAUCUGCACAGAGCUCAGUUUAUCUAACCACAUACACUCACCUCCUGUUUCCUUAAUGGCCCCAACUCUGUGGGAGGGACAUCCUGUCGUCUGUUUCGGUCUCGUCUGUGUGCGUGUGUGUGUGUGUGUGUGUGUGUGAGAUCACGCAUGUGGAGGCCAUUAAGCAUUUAAACUGCAAUUCUGACUUUUCUCAGAUCUCUCCAUCUUAAUGUAUUAUUAUUAAACAGUGAUGGAUCAGAGUGA
Tachysurus fulvidraco (yellow catfish) is the source of this 1351-nucleotide long non-coding RNA. RefSeq lists it as uncharacterized. The record is from RefSeq and is a predicted model, not a curated record. NCBI's taxonomy places the organism in Eukaryota, Metazoa, Chordata, Actinopteri, Siluriformes, Bagridae. The transcript is spliced from 2 exons.